AUUUUACGAAUGCGUUUUCGUCUGAAUUAUUUAUUGGGUUAGAAAAAUCUUUUUUCUCUCAACUUUUUAUCUUCAGUAUCCCUUCGACUUCUUCUCUUUCUCACGGGUGAAACAGAGACUGCUAGGUUACAGAGAAGUAGAUGAAACACAACAAACAACAGAUUUCAAGCAAAAAGAUUUGGAACAUGGGGAAGAACACGAAGGAGGCUACGCCUCGACCUCCGAUGAACACCGACGGCAUGGAGAUUCAGUUAUCCGGGUCACCACUACGACGGGGUGUCAAUGCCAGCCGAUAGAACUGUCGCCGGUGUACCUUCAAAGCACCGCCGUCUCGGAGGGGGUCAUGCGGCCACAUAACGUCGGAUUCGCAAAGAACACCGACUCCCUAUCUCUUCACAUUGACUGCGAAGAUGCUCCACCACUCAUAGGUCCGAACAAUCACAUGAUCCUCCUCCUACACUCACUGGUCAAGAAGUAACUACGUCAGAAAGUAAACAAACCUGGAGAACCGCCUUCUCCGUGGUAGAUCCUCCGUCAAACGAGCCCCUCCCGACAGAUCGAUACAAACCCUAGAAAUCUCAAUGACUGAUUUUCGGUAUUCGCCGGGGCUCCACCGUCCUCUAGCAGAGCAACACCUUCGACCAACGAGCCGCUAGGACCUCUGAGGCACUCCUAGGGAUCCGCCGCGCCAUGGAUCAAAAAACGGUAUCGGAAAAAGGAGAAGAGAAGCACCACUGAAACGUCACCGGACGCCAACUACUUCGUCAGUAAGCUCAGACGCCGAAGGAGGGGGUGGGUGGGAGCGGGCCUGACUAUCCGACCAAGCUCACCGCAGGUAGGAAUGGCUCCACCCGAAAACGCGAUCUCAAAAAGUUGGGAGAGAAAGAGGGGCGUCGUAAGCAACUUUUCUUCUCUUUCUCACUCUCCGUUGAACGUUUUUCUCUUCAACGUUGCAGUGAAUUUUCAGUUCUCCAAUCAUGAUGGCUUCUAGAAUCAAGGAAAACGCAAGUGUUGUGACUGUGGUAGGCAAGACUUUUGAUCGUCCCGACAAUGUUCUUUUGAGGUACAUAGACCAUGGUGUGUGAAUUGUGAGGCAUUGAGAAACACAUGUCUAUAAUCUGGCUUAGCAGUUCAAAAGCUUUUGAAAAUCAUUUUUUGAAAUCAUUACGCAUCAGCUAAUGAGCAGCCUAAACUACAGGUGAAUUAAAUUUUACCUAAAACAUACUGGUGAAUCUUAUUGAUUUGUUGAUGACAGAUUAAUGAUUAUCCGACGUCAUUGUUCUACUACAUAUCUGGUGAAAAAUAGAAGCAAGUAAUAUUCAUUGAGCUUCACUAGCUCAAGUCCUUAUCGCCUUCAUAACAAGAUCAAUUUGCAGUUAAAACUAUCGACUGAAUUGAGUGUCCAUGACAUGACUUAUUCAUCAACAAGAGGUAGUAAUGCUAAGAAUGAAAUGUAGUCAUAGGAAACGUAGACAUAAAAAGGGACAGAGAAAUAUCAUAAUGUUAUAUUACAUGAUUAUGAUACUUACUAUAUGUAACUGGAAAAGAUAGAAAUUCAAUUUGUGAGAAUCUGUGAUUCAAAAAACUGAAGUUGCAUUUUAAAUUGUAUGGUAGCAAAUCCAAUUUGACGAAAGGAAAAAAGAAUAUUAGUAGUCUCUGCAAUAAAGUUUUUUUUUUAAAUUA
Molecule: long non-coding RNA, 1683 nt
Organism: Brassica napus (rape)
Lineage: Eukaryota; Viridiplantae; Streptophyta; Magnoliopsida; Brassicales; Brassicaceae
Exons: 3
Source: RefSeq, a predicted model, not a curated record